CUGGAUCUCACACUCUUAAGACUGGUUAAUUUUUCCUUAGAAAUGACACAUCUUUUGGCUGGGCGCAGUGGCUCACGCCUGUAAUCCCAGCACUUUGAGAGGCUGAGGCGGGCGGAUCACGAGGUCAGGAGAUUGAGACCAUCCUGGCUAACACGGUGAAACCCCGUCUCUACUAAAAAAAAAAAUACAAAAAAAUUAGCCGGGCGCUGUGGAGGGCGCUUGUAGUCCCAGCUACUCAGGAGGCUCAGGCAGGAGAAUGACGUCAACCCAGGAGGCGGAGCUUGCGGGGAGCCGAGAUCGCGCCACUGCACUCCAGCCUGGGUGACAGAGCGAGACUCCAACUCAAAAAAAAAAAAAAAAAAAGGAAAAAGAAAAAAAGAAAUGACACAGCUUUUACACAUUUAUCAACAACUGUAAAAUGUGGUACAUUUUAGCACUUUCCUAUAAAUGUUGAAAUGUAUUUUUAGAUUCUUAUAGGGAUUAUAAGAAUAAUCAAUGGACCUGAGUCUCCUCUCCUCGUCUCUCCUAAAUGCCCUGCGAGCUCCAUCCACCUCGGUCUCUGUAAUUAGAACACGCCAAGGCAGAUUCUGAGGUGGAAGAUGCCAGGAUAACCUCAGGCCCAGGCCGCUGCAGGCUGGAUGGGUCUUCCUGUGAGGGGAAGAACUGGGAGAGUUGGUUUUAAGAGAAGCCAAAUGGUGCCUUGGGGAGAACGUUUUCUACAUAAACUAGCUCUAACUUUCAGGUGUGUCUUCACAUGCCCCGUUUGCUGCCUGCGCCUCUCCACAAAGACUACCAAAUCCUGGUAAGUCUUGCCUGCUCUCUCACUAGCAAAUUGGCAUUUUUAUGGAUUAAAUGAAAGUAUUAGAAUUUAGGGGGUAAGUGAAAUUGGCAUAAAGUAAGAAAUGGAGCAUAUUAGCACAUAGAAUACUAUUUUACAGAAUGAUAAUCCAAUGACACUUACAUAAAGGUUAUUGCAACAUAAAACAGUAUCCAAUGGGAAAAUUGAUGUUAGUGCAUUGUGAUACAAAGCCAACAACUUGAGCCUUAC
This 1048-nucleotide long non-coding RNA is filed under the name Macaca fascicularis (crab-eating macaque). Its description in RNAcentral is "lncRNA (ENSMFAG00000059394.1)". Lineage: Eukaryota; Metazoa; Chordata; Mammalia; Primates; Cercopithecidae. The record is from RNAcentral.